Molecule: ribosomal RNA, 208 nt
Filed under: uncultured bacterium
Lineage: Bacteria
Description: partial 16S ribosomal RNA
Rfam family: Bacterial small subunit ribosomal RNA
Source: RNAcentral
CUAGUAGGCGGCUUAGCAAGUCGGGUGUGAAAACUUCAGGCUCAACCUGGAGCGGCCAUCCGAUACUGCUAUGGCUAGAGUCCGGUAGGGGACCACGGAAUUCCUGGUGUAGCGGUGAAAUGCGCAGAUAUCAGGAGGAACACCGAUGGCGAAGGCAGUGGUCUGGGCCGGAACUGACGCUGAAUACGGAAAGACGUGGUGGCGAACA